Molecule: RNA transcript, 2180 nt
Organism: Piliocolobus tephrosceles (Ugandan red Colobus)
Lineage: Eukaryota; Metazoa; Chordata; Mammalia; Primates; Cercopithecidae
Gene name: C-terminal-binding protein 2 pseudogene
Exons: 1
Source: RefSeq, a predicted model, not a curated record
GCCGACCGUCCCGGACGAGGGUUUCAUCACCUUAAAUGCUUUUGAACCAAUGAAGCUGCAUUCCCUUAAAAAGACGGACAGUCCAUCAUGUGAACUAAAGAGUUUGUGGACAGACUUAUAUUGGGUUCAUAGUGGCGUCAUGCACGCAGACUCCUGCGAGUUCCCUUAAGUUCUUAGAGGACUGCUUUGCCUUUUGAUCUGAGAGUUGCAAAAUUCCAUAAAGAAUGGCCCUUGUGGAUAAGCACAAAGUCAAGAGACAGCGAUUGGACAGAAUUUGUGAAGGUAUCCGCCCCCAGAUCAUGAAUGGCCCCCUGCACCCCCGCCCCCUGGUGGCGCUGCUGGACGGCCGCGACUGCACUGUGGAGAUGCCCAUCCUGAAGGACCUGGCCACUGUGGCCUUCUGUGAUGCGCAGUCCACACAGGAAAUCCACGAGAAGGUUCUAAACGAAGCCGUGGGUGCCAUGAUGGACCACACCAUCACCCUCACCAGGGAGGACCUGGAAAAGUUCAAGGCCCUGAGAGUGAUCGUGCAGAUAGGCAGUGGCUACGACAACGUGGACAUCAAGGCUGCCGGCGAGCUCGGAACUGCUGUGUGCAACAUCCCGUCUGCAGCCGUGGAAGAGACGGCGGACUCUACCAUCUGCCACAUCCUCAAUCUGUACCGGAGGAACACGUGGCUGUACCAGGCACUGCGGGAAGGCACGCGGGUUCAGAGCGUGGAACAGAUCCGAGAGGUGGCCUUGGGAGCGGCCCGCAUCCGUGGGGAGACGCUGGGCCUCAUCGGCUUUGGUCGCACGGGGCAGGCAGUUGCAGUUCGAGCCAAGGCCUUUGGAUUCAGCGUCAUAUUUUAUGACCCCUACUUGCAGGAUGGGAUCGAGCGGUCCCUGGGCGUGCAGAGGGUCUACACACACUGCAGGAUUUGCUGUAUCAGAGCGACUGCGUCUCCUUGCACUGCAAUCUCAACGAACAUAACCACCACGUCAUCAAUGAUUUUACCAUAAAGCAGAUGAGGCAGGGAGCAUUCCUUGUGAACGCAGCCCGUGGUGGCCUGGUGGACGAGAAAGCCUUAGCACAAGCCCUCAAGGAGGGCAGGAUAGGAGGGGCAGCUCUCGACGUGCAUGAGUCGGAGCCCUUUAGCUUUGCUCAGGGUCCGUUGAAAGAUGCACCGAAUCUCAUCUGCACUCCUCACACUGCCUGGUACAGCGAGCAGGCAUCACUGGAGAUGAGGGAGGCAGCUGCCACGGAGAUCCGCGGAGCCAUCACAGGUCGCAUCCCAGAAAGCUUAAGAAACUGUGUGAACAAGGAAUUCUUGGUCACAUCAGCGCCUUGGUCAGUAAUAGACCAGCAAGCAAUUCAUCCUGAGCUCAAUGGUGCCACAUACAGAUAUCCGCCAGGCAUCGUGGGCGUGGCUCCAGGAGCACUUCCUGCAGCCAUGGAAGGGAUCAUCCCUGGAGGCAUCCCAGUGACUCACAACCUCCUGACAGUGGCACAUCCUUCCCAAGCGCCCUCUCCCAACCAGCCCACAAAACAUGGGGACAAUCGAGAGCACCCCAACGAGCAAUAGCAGAGAACGUCGGAAGGUAAUCAUUCAGAUACACUUGGGACCAAGAGACAGUGAAAAAUAGAUGAACUGAGAGAAAAAGAAUCUGAUGGUCUUUACAACUGAUUCUGGACAUAUGCAUCAUUGAUGUUGCAGUGUUAAAACUACAAGAGCUAGAAAACUGCAGAUGUCAUCUGCUUACGGAAGCGCUGAAAGACUAGGAUGUGAUUUAUUAACGACCAACGUCUGUUAUUGUGUGUUAAGUUUUUCAUCUGUGCAUCAAAUCACAAAGAAUAAAUAGAGCUUUUUUCUUUAUCAGUCCCUUGGGCACAGCAGGUCCUGAACACCCUGCUCUACAAUGUUGCAUCAAGAGUUCAAACAACAAAAUAAAAAAUAUUAAGAGGAAAUCCCCAUCCUGUGACUUGAGUCCCUUAAGUCUACAGCGGCUGGAGAUCUCUUUUUGCUAAUAGGAAAAUCACAUUACUACAAAAUGGGGAGAAAACUGUUUGCCUGUGGUAGACACCUGCACGCAUAGGAUUGAAGACAGUACAGGCUCCUGUACAGAGGAGCAUCGCUCACAUCUGAACUGCAUACUGAGCGGGCAAGUUGGUUGUAAGUUCAGUAAAACCCUCUGAUGAUG